This 1313-nucleotide unclassified non-coding RNA is filed under the name Hevea brasiliensis (rubber tree). The record is from RNAcentral. Lineage: Eukaryota; Viridiplantae; Streptophyta; Magnoliopsida; Malpighiales; Euphorbiaceae.
GAAAGGGCAAUCUAGAACACGAAACCUCUACUCUACAGAAUCGUAAUUAGAAACGUCAAUGGCGAGAGAUAAGAUAAAUCAUGAAACUUAGCUUAAUCACAAGGUCAAAAUCUUCAUUAGUUUUGAAAAGUCUAUUUCUUCAAACUUAAAUUCCAAGAAAAGCACCCAACCUCACCCUCUCCUCAAUACCCCAUCACCUGAAUCCUUUACAAACAGGGGAAAGAACACCACUGCACCUUCUUCUUCUUCUAAGAGAUGGCUUAUGUAGACCAUGCCUUCUCCAUUACGGACGACGACAUAAUGAUCGAGUCAUCUUACGUUGUCAACAAUCGCCCUCCCGUCAAGGAGAUUGCUCUCGCCGUCUCUCUCCUAGUUUUCGGCGUCACCGGCAUCGUUUUGGGCAUUUUUAUGGCUUCCAACAAAAUCGGCGGUGACCGUGCUCAUGGGCUUUUCUUUGCGAUUCUCGGAGUAGUACUGUUUAUACCUGGAUUUUAUUAUACAAGGAUUGCUUACUAUGCUUAUAAGGGAUACAAAGGCUUCUCCUUCGCCAACAUACCACCCGUCUAGUUAAUGAUAAGCUCAAGCUCCAGUUUGCCCCAGCUACUCAUGUACAUAUCUUUCUCCAGUUGUGCUUAUUUCUUUAUUAUUGUACUUGUGGUUCUUUGCUUUUUGUUUCUUUCAAUAGUUUUGUUUUUUAAUUGUUCUGAACAGCCGGUUUUUGUUGCAAUAUAGUUGAAUAGUGUCUCAAGUUAUCCUACUCUUAGUUGAUAGUCUAGUCUAUAUCAAAUUCCUUCUUUGUUUUGUGUUUUGCUUCCUUUGAUGGAUGAGUUUCAUAACAUUCAGCUCUUACCUGAAAGCAUUUACCAUCAAUAGUUAGUUCCUUGUCUUGCAUAAUGCCAUUUGGAUAUCAAAUUUCAUCUUCAGUGUCAGUGUGUAAUGCAUUCAGUUCCUUAACUUGCACAAUGCUGCGCUACCAUAUGGUAAGAUCACGUCCAUACAAUAUAAUAAUUUCAAAAUUCAUCUUCAGUGUCAUUGUGUAUGUAAUGCAAAACUGAUGAGCUUUUGCUUUUGAUCCGUUACCAUGCAUAUACCUGCACUUUUCACCCAAACUCAAAUUUAAUGUUGGAUCUACUUUUCUUUUGUUCAUUAUCGAGCUCUCAUCCUGGAGAUGACUGCUUUGCCAUUGAGCUAAAGCUCAUUGGUGUGUUCGUCUUACUAACUGAGAUUAAUUGAAGUAAGAAUGCAACUCAUCCAAUAUAAACACUUGCAAGUGUGUCAUAAUAUUCUUCCAUUAAACAAACUAAUAACAAAAU